GCUGUGUUUCCACAUUGGGCAAUCUUCAUAUUGUCAAUGAUUCUGCCUGCAGUUGGGCCGUUGUCGCACUUGAAAUUGGAUUUCAUUUUUCUCCAAGUGCGUUCUUUCGCACAAACUUGUCAAACUUGAAUUUGACAACCCGCCUUCGUUUAUUUUCUCCCAGUUUUAAAGAAAUAGACUGGACGCCCUAAGUGAGAGUUUCGAUGCCCCUCAGCAAUGAUUGAAAUCUUAUGAAAGGAAUCUAAUGACAUAACUUUUGCCAUGCUCCUUAAUUUGCAAUAAUCCCAAUAAUGUAAUAAUAUUCAGGAGGCUAGACAAUGUUUUUUUUCUGAAAGAUUACCCACAACUUAAUUGCCAUUGCUGUGAAAUGUUAAUUAUCAAUUGCUAAUACUCCCCUGUACAAUGUUUCAUUCUUAAAUUUAGGCUUAAAAGAAAUAUGUUGAAAUUUAAGAUAUUUGUACUCAAGCACAUGCAUUGACGUUAGACUUUUGGAUUUUAUUUGUUUUCAUUUCAUUGAUUUAUUGAUUGAUUUUUUUUCUUACUGAGAACUUCAUUGUUUAAGUCAAUAUUAAAUCUUAUAUUCUUAAUUUGUCAUUAUUUUGGUUAAUGCCAGGGAGGUCACUUGUGCGUUUCCUGGUCCCGGAGGACAAGUACAAGUCUUGGAAUGGCGGGAGGUUGUUCACGUGUUUCGCUUUGCUGUCUUGUGAAGAAGAGGAGGACAGGAAGAAGGCGGUGGCCAUCGCUGUGCAGUCGCUGGUCCUGGCUCUGGUGGCGAUAGCGGCGGCGUUUGGCGUGUUCUUCGCCAAGCGGCCCAAAAGCCAACACGGUGAACGACGACACAAACGUUUGCUCCGUAUGUGGCGAUUCCUAAUCGCCUCUCGCUUCGCUUCCAUUUCAGCCAAUUACGCUCCAGCUUCCAAUGCCUCAUCUUCUGAGCCGGACUGAAUGAACCCGACUAAGGUUGAAAGGGAUGUCUUCUUCUUUUGGUGCCACACUUGAAUGGCGUUGAAAGUUUUGCCCUCAAUUGAGCGGCUUUUUCCGCUAUGCUCGUUUUGGACACUUGGGGGCAGUGUGAUGCAAACCAAUAAUCUCACAACUCGGGCAGGCAGCUGCAGUAAUGUUAUCUCAUUUUGACCCCCCAAAAAAUGAACAUAUGCUUCUCCAGCUUUUGCUAGCUUGCUACAUUAUUUGUGUUUAAAUACGUGUUCAGAAUCAUUCGUUAGCAUUGUUUGUUAGCAUUAAACUACACAGACUUGGGCAAAAUGUGGUUGUUUUGAAUACACAAA
Long non-coding RNA from Syngnathus acus (greater pipefish), 1286 nucleotides. RefSeq lists it as uncharacterized. The transcript has 3 exons. The record is from RefSeq and is a predicted model, not a curated record. NCBI's taxonomy places the organism in Eukaryota, Metazoa, Chordata, Actinopteri, Syngnathiformes, Syngnathidae.